RNAcentral lists this ribosomal RNA (253 nucleotides) under uncultured bacterium. RNAcentral's name for it is "partial 16S ribosomal RNA". It matches the Rfam family "Bacterial small subunit ribosomal RNA", at positions 524 to 776 of the family's 1533-position model. The record is from RNAcentral.
UACGUAGGGGGCGAGCGUUGUCCGGAGUUACUGGGCGUAAAGCGCACGCAGGCGGUCUGUGAAGUUUGGAGUGACAGUUGGUGGCUCAACCACCAAAGUGCUUUGAAAACUGACAGACUUGAGGGCUUCAGAGGGACACGGAAUUCCGGGUGUAGUGGUGGAAUGCGUAGAGAUCCGGAGGAACACCAGCGGCGAAGGCGGCAUCCUGGACUGGUCCUGACACUCAGGAGCGAAAGCGUGGGGAGCGAUCCGG